GACGAACGCUGGCGGCGUGCUUAACACAUGCAAGUCGAACGAUGAAGUUCCUUCGGGAAUGGAUUAGUGGCGAACGGGUGAGGAUCACGUGAGAAACCUGCCUUUCAUUUUGGGAUAACACCGGGAAACCGGUGCUAAUACCGAAUACUCCGUCUUGGCGGCAUCGCUAAGCCGGGAAAGAAUUUCGAUGAAAGAUGAGUCUCGCGGCCUAUCAGCUAGUUGGUGAGGUAAUGGCUCACCAAGGCGACGACGGGUAGCCGGCCUGAGAGGGCGACCGGCCACACUGGGACUGAGACACGGCCCAGACUCCUACGGGAGGCAGCAGUGGGGGAUAUUGGGCAAUGGGCGCAAGCCUGACCCAGCGACGCCGCGUGAGGGAUGAAGGCCUUCGGGUUGUAAACCUCUUUCAGCAGGGAAGAAGCGAAAGUGACGGUACCUGCAGAAAAAGCACCGGCUAACUACGUGCCAGCCGCCGCCGAAA
This 481-nucleotide ribosomal RNA is filed under the name uncultured bacterium. RNAcentral describes it as "partial 16S ribosomal RNA". It matches the Rfam family "Bacterial small subunit ribosomal RNA", at positions 28 to 523 of the family's 1533-position model. The record is from RNAcentral.